This 67-nucleotide transfer RNA is filed under the name Planctomicrobium piriforme. RNAcentral describes it as "tRNA_Pseudo_Pseudo". It matches the Rfam family "tRNA". From Rfam's summary of the family: Transfer RNA (tRNA) molecules are approximately 80 nucleotides in length. Their secondary structure includes four short double-helical elements and three loops (D, anti-codon, and T loops). Further hydrogen bonds mediate the characteristic L-shaped molecular structure. tRNAs have two regions of fundamental functional importance: the anti-codon, which is responsible for specific mRNA codon recognition, and the 3' end, to which the tRNAs corresponding amino acid is attached (by aminoacyl-tRNA synthetases). tRNAs cope with the degeneracy of the genetic code in two manners: having more than one tRNA (with a specific anti-codon) for a particular amino acid; and 'wobble' base-pairing, i.e. permitting non-standard base-pairing at the 3rd anti-codon position. Lineage: Bacteria; Pseudomonadati; Planctomycetota; Planctomycetia; Planctomycetales; Planctomycetaceae. The record is from RNAcentral.
GCUGCAGUAGCUCAGAGGGAGAGACGGUGACAUCUCUGUGUCAUCGGUUCGAGUCCGAUCUGCAGCA